UACAGAGGGUGCUAGCGUUAAUCGGAUUUACUGGGCGUAAAGCGUGUGUAGGCGGUUUGUUAAGUCGGGUGUGAAAUCCCUGGGCUCAACCGUGGGAAUUGCAUUCGAUACUGGCAAGCUAGAGUACGGUAGAGGGCGGCGGAAUUCCGGGUGUAGCGGUGAAAUGCGUAGAUAUCCGGAGGAACACCGAUGGCGAAGGCAACCGCCUGGGCCUGUACUGACGCUGAGACACGAAAGCGUGGGGAGCAAACAGGG
Molecule: ribosomal RNA, 255 nt
Filed under: uncultured bacterium
Lineage: Bacteria
Description: partial 16S ribosomal RNA
Rfam family: Bacterial small subunit ribosomal RNA
Source: RNAcentral